GACGAACGCUGGCGGCGUGCUUAACACAUGCAAGUCGAACGGUAAGGCCCUUCGGGGUACACGAGUGGCGAACGUGUGAGUAACACGUGGGUGAUCUGCCCUGCACUUCGGGAUAAGCCUGGGAAACUGGGUCUAAUACCGGAUAGGACCACUGCCUGCAUGGGUGGUGGUGGAAAGCUUUUGUGGUGUGGGAUGGGCCCGCGGCCUAUCAGCUUGGUGGUGGGGUGAUGGCCUACCAAGGCGACGACGGGUAGCCGGCCUGAGAGGGUGACCGGCCACACUGGGACUGAGAUACGGCCCAGACUCCUACGGGAGGCAGCAGUGGGGAAUAUUGCACAAUGGGCGCAAGCCUGAUGCAGCGACGCCGCGUGAGGGAUGACGGCCUUCGGGUUGUAAACCUCUUUCAGCACCGACGAAGCGCAAGUGACGGUAGGUGCAGAAGAAGGACCGGCCAACUACGUGCCAGCCGCCGCGGUAA
This 478-nucleotide ribosomal RNA is filed under the name uncultured bacterium. RNAcentral describes it as "partial 16S ribosomal RNA". It matches the Rfam family "Bacterial small subunit ribosomal RNA", at positions 28 to 523 of the family's 1533-position model. The record is from RNAcentral.